This 1369-nucleotide long non-coding RNA is filed under the name Homo sapiens (human). RNAcentral's name for it is "lncAB90.1". The record is from RNAcentral. Lineage: Eukaryota; Metazoa; Chordata; Mammalia; Primates; Hominidae.
UUAUCAUAUAUAUAAUAUAUAUUAUAAUAUAAUAUAGUAUAGUAUAUUUUAUAUAUUAUACUGGAACAGCUCGUGCCCUUGGUCUCUUGCCUCAGCACCUGGGUGGCUUGCCGCCCACAAACUGCUCACUGUUCAAUUACCAUUUUCAGAAUGCUUUUUAUGUUUGUUUGAUGAAUUCAUAAAAGUCUCUAAUGUGAAAUAAGCCAAGCACAGAAAGACAAAUAAUGCAUGUUUGGCCGGGUGUGGUGGCUCACGCCUGUAAUCCUGACACUUUGGGAGGCCGAGGCGGGCAGAUCCCCUGAGGUCAGGAGUUUGAGACCACCCUGGCCAACAUGGUGAAACCUCGUCUCUACUAAAAAUACAAAAACAAUUAGACAGGCGUGGUGGCAGGCGCCUGUAAUUCUAGCCACUUGGGAGGCUGAGGCAAGAGAAUUGUUUGAACCAGGGAGGCAGAGGUUGCAGUGAACCGAGAUCGUGCCAUUGUAAUCCAGCCUGAGCAAGAGAGCAAGACUUGGUCUCAAAAGAAAAAAAAAAAGAUAAAUAACACAUGUUCUCUCAUAGGUCAGUACUAAAAGAGUUGCUCUCAUAGAAGUAAACAGAACAGUGGUUACUAGAGGCUGGGAAGGGAAAGGCUGUAAAAGGGAUAGGGAGAGGUUGGUUAAAGAAUACAAAAUUACAGCUAGAUAGGAGGAAUAAGUUCUAGGGUUCUAUAGUUCUGGAGGGUGACUAUAGUUAGCAAUAAUUCAUUGUAUAUUUUCAAAAAGUGAGAAGAAAAGAUUUUAAUGAUCUUAACAUAAAGAAAUGAUCAAUGUUUAAGGUGAUAGAUAUGCUAAUUACCCUGAUCUAAUCAUUACACAUUAUAUACAUGUAUCAAAAUCUCACCCUGCACAUACACCAUGGAAUACCAUGCAGCCAUAAAAUGAACAAGAUUAUGCCUUUUGCAGGAACAUAGAUGGAGCUGGAGACCAUUGUCCUUAGCAAACUAAUGCAGGAACAGAAAAAUAAAUACUGCACGUUCUCACUUAUAAGUGGGAGCUAAAUGAUGAGAACUCAUGGACUCAAAGAGAGGAACAACAGACACUGGGACCUACCUGAGAGUGGAGGGUGGGAGGAGAGAGAGGACCAGAAAGAUGAAGAAGCAGGUAUAAGCCAAAUGUUGAGAGUUAGAGAAUGCCAGCCUGCAGUUGUCAUCACCCAGGCUUAGUACCUGGGUGAUGAAAUAAUCUGUACAACAAACCCUCAUGACACGAGUUUACCUAUAUAACAAAUCUGCACAUGUAACCCUGAGGCUAAAUAAAAGUUUUUUAAAAUCUCACUCUGUACUGCAUAAACAUGUAUGAAUAUUAUGUGUGAAUUAAACGUUUUUAAC